Molecule: microRNA, 22 nt
Filed under: Tribolium castaneum (red flour beetle)
Lineage: Eukaryota; Metazoa; Arthropoda; Insecta; Coleoptera; Tenebrionidae
Description: Tca-Mir-67-v3_3p (mature (guide))
Source: RNAcentral
ACAACCUCCUUGAGUGAGCGAC